This is a non-coding RNA of Haemonchus contortus (barber pole worm), 75 nucleotides long. The record is from Rfam. Lineage: Eukaryota; Metazoa; Nematoda; Chromadorea; Rhabditida; Trichostrongylidae.
GGCACAAACUUGAAGUAGAAUAGUUGGGUGUGGUCAGCUGAUCCUACUAAUCUACUCUGCUUCAAGUUUGUGCUC